Molecule: non-coding RNA, 673 nt
Organism: Camelina sativa (false flax)
Lineage: Eukaryota; Viridiplantae; Streptophyta; Magnoliopsida; Brassicales; Brassicaceae
Source: RefSeq, a predicted model, not a curated record
AUGAUAUAAAAAUUUUCUGGAUCAUAGAUAGUUUCCUGAUAAGGUUCUUGAUUAAUGAGGGACUAGACUUCUUUUGUUAUAGUUACUUUGGUCAUUAGGAGGGGAAUGCUGGGAUACUAGACCAAUCUGCUAUGCAUUAAGUGAAUUGUCAGUCCAAUGUUCAACUAGUUUGUUGCAUAUUUUAUUAAAUUGAUGGUUUAAACUCCUGCAAUUAAUGAGUCUAAAGAUUUGAGACACUGAAAUGCUUUUUUUGAUACAGGCGAAAAACAUGAACCGCUGAGCUGGGAUUUGAGAGUAUAUAUUGCUUUAGACGUAGCACGCGGUCUAGAGUAUCUUCACGAUGGGAGGAGAGAUCCCCGAGACUAUGGAAAUGGAACGCGGUGAUCUCUACUUCAUACGCUACAAGAUUGUUAAAGGAGCAAUCAUAUCUGGCCAAAUUGACUUGAUCUGAGCUCAGUCAUGGAUUUUUCACUCAAAUCUCUUUCCAUAGCCAUAAGUGAAAGAUAGUGCUACCAUUGUUCAUUAUGUCAUGAACCUGAUUUACUUGAGUUGUAUAGUGGAUUACAUAACAAUUCGUCUCUAAAAGUAACAAUAUUUUGAUAGGUCGAAAUGUUAAAAGAGAUCUUUUUGAGGUUUCACUCUAUUGCAGUGUAAGAUGAACCAAUUUCUUCAA